GGAACGAAGGGCGACCACACAGAAGACAGUUAAAUUCUUGAAGUAAUAAGGAAAAAAAUAUAAACAAACACUCGGAUGCUAUUUUUAGACAUAUAGAGUCGCCCCUACUUUCCUCUCGUUUUACAAGAACAAAGGGACAUAAACCUAGGAGAUACAUAAAUACAGUUACUGUGAUGACAUACCAUCUGCAAGUAUAUGAGGCCCAAGCUAUAUAUGUCAAAUAUGUCAGGAAGGUUCAGCUGUCAAGAAGAAAUCGUUGCAUCAGCUCAAGCAAUUAUGUUGAUUGGAACAAUUGUCGUAAACUGAGGGUUUUAUGUCCAUGUGAACAAUCCCCGUCAAAUGAAGUCCAUCAAGGGCAAACAAGGUCAAAGAGAAUUGGUAAAUUUCAUUCCAAUUGUUACCUGGAGACACACCCAAAGUCAAAGAUAAUAGUUAAAAUCCAGGGUAUGGUAUCUAAUGGAUAUGCGCUAUAAAUUAG
This 478-nucleotide long non-coding RNA is filed under the name Hordeum vulgare. RNAcentral's name for it is "long non-coding RNA (HVUL_LNC017335)". Lineage: Eukaryota; Viridiplantae; Streptophyta; Magnoliopsida; Poales; Poaceae. The record is from RNAcentral.